Molecule: ribosomal RNA, 512 nt
Filed under: uncultured bacterium
Lineage: Bacteria
Description: partial 16S ribosomal RNA
Rfam family: Bacterial small subunit ribosomal RNA
Source: RNAcentral
GACGAACGCUGGCGGCAUGCCUAAUACAUGCAAGUCGAGCGAACAGAUGAAGUGCUUGCACUUCUGACGUUAGCGGCGAACGGGUGAGUAACACGUAAGGAAUCUACCUAUAAGCGGGGGAUAACAUUCGGAAACGGGUGCUAAUACAGCAUAAUAUCUUCUUCCGCAUGGAAGAAGAUUGAAAGACGGAUCUGCUGUCACUUAUAGAUGAACUUGCGGUGCAUUAGUGAGUUGGUUGGGUAACGGCCUACCAAGACGAUGAUGCAUAGCCGACCUGAGAGGGUGAUCGGCACAUUGGGACUGGGACACGGCCCAAACUCCUACGGGAGGCAGCAGUAGGGAAUCUUCCGCAAUGGGCGAAAGCCUGACGGAGCAAUGCCGCGUGAGUGAAGAAGGCCUUCGGGUCGUAAAACUCUGUUAUAAGAGAAGAACAAAUUGUAGAGUAACUGCUACAGUCUUGACGGUAUCUUAUCAGAAAGCCACGGCUAACUACGUGCCAGCCGCCGCGGUAA